Molecule: ribosomal RNA, 466 nt
Filed under: Euxanthus exsculptus
Lineage: Eukaryota; Metazoa; Arthropoda; Malacostraca; Decapoda; Xanthidae
Description: partial 16S ribosomal RNA
Rfam family: Bacterial large subunit ribosomal RNA
Source: RNAcentral
CAAAGGUAGCAUAAUCAUUAGGGAUUUAAUUGGAACCUGGAAUGAAGGGUUGGACAAAGGAAAGACUGUCUUUAUAGUGUAAGUUGAAGUUUACUUUUAAGUGAAAAGGCUUAAAUGUUUCAGAGGGACGAUAAGACCCUAUAAAGCUUUAUAAAUAAUUGAGAUUUGAUUGAUUUAUAAAAUAAAAGUUGAGUUUAAUUAUUUUAUUUUGUUGGGGUGAUGUGAGUAUAAUUGAUGGUAACUGCUUAUGAGAGAUACUAUAAUGAUAGAAUUAUAAAUGAUGAUCCUUCUUAAAGAUUAAAAGACUAAGUUACUUUAGGGAUAACAGCGUUAUUUCUUUUGAGAGUUCAUAUCGAAAAAGGAGAUUGCGACCUCGAUGUUGAAUUAAAAUAUCUAUAUAAUGCAGCCGUUAUAAAAGAGGGUCUGUUCGACCUUUAAAUUUUUACAUGAUUUGAGUUCAAACCGG